CCUACGGGAGGCUGCAGUGGGGAAUAUUGGACAAUGGGCGAAAGCCUGAUCCAGCCAUGCCGCGUGUGUGAAGAAGGCCUUCGGGUUGUAAAGCACUUUCAGUGGGGAAGAAAGCCUUGGGGCUAAUACCCUCGAGGAAGGACAUCACCCACAGAAGAAGCACCGGCUAACUCCGUGCCAGCAGCCGCGGUAAUACGGAGGGUGAGAGCGUUAAUCGGAAUUACUGGGCGUAAAGCGCGCGUAGGCGGUCUGAUAAGCCGGUUGUGAAAGCCCCGGGCUCAACCUGGGAACGGCAUCCGGAACUGUCAGGCUAGAGUGCAGGAGAGGAAGGUAGAAUUCCCGGUGUAGCGGUGAAAUGCGUAGAGAUCGGGAGGAAUACCAGUGGCGAAGGCGGCCUUCUGGACUGACACUGACGCUGAGGUGCGAAAGCGUGGGUAGCAAACAGGAUUAGAUACCCGGGUAGUU
This 465-nucleotide ribosomal RNA is filed under the name Vreelandella stevensii. RNAcentral describes it as "partial 16S ribosomal RNA". It matches the Rfam family "Bacterial small subunit ribosomal RNA", at positions 338 to 795 of the family's 1533-position model. The record is from RNAcentral. Lineage: Bacteria; Pseudomonadati; Pseudomonadota; Gammaproteobacteria; Oceanospirillales; Halomonadaceae.